AAUCCCACGGACAAAAAUCAUAAGAUGACAUGCAUCCGUCCUAUCAAUCGACUCGUCCAGACAAACUCUUCCACGCGUCUGCCAAUUGUGAACCGAGACAAUGGCAGCCUCCUGAGCCGUUCAGCUGCUGAUGAUUCACCCAUCAAAUCUAAGACAUCGGCAAUAUUGUCCCUCCAGAAGCUAACAUCGCUGUACGACUUUUCUCCCAAGGCACAGCGAUAACUCAGCAGAGUUACUGGAUCAGAAAGAUCUAAGUGGGUAGAGGGAUUUUUGACGUCACCAGUUUCGAUUCCUUCUUCACAUCCAAGCGAUGAACUAGGGUUUUCUGUUUCAUUGCGACAUUGACUUUUAUGAUUUUCACGCCAGUGCUUUGCCAAUCUAUAAGGCCUAUCUUCACCUAAAAAGGGAAAUAUAUAUACAUCAAAAUAUAUAUCUAAAAAACAAAAAAGGGAAACAUAGGGUAAGUGUGCCAAAUUCCGGCCAGCUUGCAAUUUCGGCCACCUUUUUUGUUCCUCGAAUUUCCAUGAACGUUUAGAUUUUACGUACUCUAGAGAUUAUACAAUGCAAAAGAAUAACAAAAAAUGUAGCUUUGCCAAACGAGAUGACGUGAAAAAGACAUUGGAAGAAUUUCCGAAGGGCAAGGAACUAUGAGAAUGAAGGUGGCCGAAAUAGGGCACCACAGCUAUGACUACAUUUUUAUUCAUUUUAAAAUGUGUUAAGAAUGAUUUUAGAGUAAAUAAAGACGGUAAACUCUUUACAAGGUUCCAAGCAACACUCUUCCAGAAGAAAGAUUAAAAAAAAAUCAAUUUGUAUUUUAAAUAUUACAUUUCUAACUUGAAACUUUGACGCUUGCAUGCAACUAUGCCGAAAUUUGGCACACUUACCCUAUAUAAACAUCAAAAUAUUUAUCUAGUAAUAUGAAAAGACCAAACGGGCGUUAGAAUACUAAAUCGUUUCUUUCUUUGACUGUCUGUCAGAAGGUUAUCGAAUACGUAAAUGGGGUCUCGGUAGCUCAAUAGGCAAAGUGUUGGCUUUGUGACGCAGAGGCCCUCGGUUCGAUCCUUGAUCGAAGCGCGUCCGGUGAAUAAUUGGAAAACAAUUUUUCACCGUCCUUAAAAGCUCCAAAUUGAACGCAAAAAUAUCAAGAAGGAAGUAUGAUAAAAGAUAAGGGAGCAAAAAAUAGGAUUUGUGAUGGAGCAAAAAGAAAAAUGAUAAGGAGAGAUGAGUAAAUAAGAGUGAGCGAAAUGGCUAAUAUGGACCUGAUUGAGUCUGACAGCCAAAAACAUAAAAAGAAGAGAGAGAGAGAGAGAAUAUGUAAAUGUGAUGUGAUACAAAAUUUAAAAAUUUUACAAAUUUUAUUAGAAAAAAUAUACUACACACUAAAAAAGACUGUACAACUUUAAUGAGUAUAAGAAUAAUGAUGUUACAUAAUUACAAAACAAAUACGAAUCUAUUAAAAUAAUUUCGAUCUUGUCUAAUCAAAAAGUCAAUCAUUAUCAACGACUUAUUAAUAUGUCAUAUUUGCAUAUUACCUUAAAAAACAACAUACACUCAGUCCCGGCAUUAAGUCUUUCGGGAUUAUGCACCUGACGGAAUUAUGCACACACAAUUAUGCAGGAUUGCCUACCCUUAGGAGUCAAGUUAUGAGAUCAUUUUUGAAAUACGCCUGAAUGUAUACUAUUUUGCGACUCGGGAAAUUUGAAAACAAUUUGCUACUCUUUCAGAAUAAAAGUUUAAUUUCUUUUAUUAAG
Phlebotomus papatasi is the source of this 1751-nucleotide long non-coding RNA. RefSeq lists it as uncharacterized. The transcript has 2 exons. The record is from RefSeq and is a predicted model, not a curated record. Lineage: Eukaryota; Metazoa; Arthropoda; Insecta; Diptera; Psychodidae.